Molecule: ribosomal RNA, 138 nt
Filed under: uncultured Lactococcus sp.
Lineage: Bacteria; Bacillati; Bacillota; Bacilli; Lactobacillales; Streptococcaceae
Description: partial 16S ribosomal RNA
Rfam family: Bacterial small subunit ribosomal RNA
Source: RNAcentral
UAGGGAAUCUUCGGCAAUGGACGAAAGUCUGACCGAGCAACGCCGCGUGAGUGAAGAAGGUUUUCGGAUCGUAAAACUCUGUUGGUAGAGAAGAACGUUGGUGAGAGUGGAAAGCUCAUCAAGUGACGGUAACUACCA